This 513-nucleotide ribosomal RNA is filed under the name uncultured bacterium. Its description in RNAcentral is "partial 16S ribosomal RNA". It matches the Rfam family "Bacterial small subunit ribosomal RNA", at positions 28 to 523 of the family's 1533-position model. The record is from RNAcentral.
GAUGAACGCUGGCGGCGUGCCUAAUACAUGCAAGUCGAGCGAACAGACGAGGAGCUUGCUCCUCUGACGUUAGCGGCGGACGGGUGAGUAACACGUGGAUAACCUACCUAUAAGACUGGGAUAACUUCGGGAAACCGGAGCUAAUACCGGAUAAUAUAUUGAACCGCAUGGUUCAAUAGUGAAAGACGGGUUUGCUGUCACUUAUAGAUGGCUCCGCGCCGCAUUAGCUAGUUGGUAAGGUAAUGGCUUACCAAGGCAACGAUGCGUAGCCGACCUGAGAGGGUGAUCGGCCACACUGGAACUGAGACACGGUCCAGACUCCUACGGGAGGCAGCAGUAGGGAAUCUUCCGCAAUGGGCGAAAGCCUGACGGAGCAACGCCGCGUGAGUGAUGAAGGUCUUCGGAUCGUAAAACUCUGUUAUUAGGGAAGAACAAAUGUGUAAGUAACUAUGCACGUCUUGACGGUACCUAAUCAGAAAGCCACGGCUAACUACGUGCCAGCCGCCGCGGUAA